AGAUUGAACGCUGGCGGCAUGCCUAACACAUGCAAGUCGAGCGGCAGCGCGGGGGCGACCCUGGCGGCGAGUGGCGGACGGGUGAGUAAGGCAUCGGAAUCUGCCCUGAUGUGGGGGAUAACGUAGGGAAACUUACGCUAAUACCGCAUACGACCGAGAGGUGAAAGCGGGGGAUCGAAAGACCUCGCGCCGGUGGAUGAGCCGAAGCCGGAUUAGCUAGUUGGUAGGGUAAUGGCCUACCAAGGCGACGAUCCGUAGCUGGUCUGAGAGGACGACCAGCCACACUGGGACUGAGACACGGCCCAGACUCCUACGGGAUGCAGC
This 324-nucleotide ribosomal RNA is filed under the name uncultured prokaryote. RNAcentral describes it as "bacterial SSU rRNA". It matches the Rfam family "Bacterial small subunit ribosomal RNA", at positions 26 to 352 of the family's 1533-position model. The record is from RNAcentral.